GAAGACGUUCCGAUGUUCCGUUAAGUGAAUUGCAGUUCCACGCCAAAUGCAACCUUCUAAAGAUGCUGCCGUUCGUACAAUAACAGUUGGUUGGCGGGUGGCGGCAAGCAGCAUCCGGAGCACCAUCUGUGAAAGAGGAGCAACCCAGUUGCCGGGCCGUUGCCCGUAUGACUCGGCCAAGGGCGUGCCGCGCGAGGAAACAUCCCGCAAAAUCUGCCAUCAUCGACGACGAAGAUAACGCAUAACGGGGACAGACGAAGGGUGCUUCCAACACCGACGUCGACGGGAUUGCCAAAUACCUCCUCCGGUUAUCGGAACGCGAGUUUGGCAGCGACUGCCGUUGGUGCAGCUUAUCCGACGAAAGCAACUAUCAAGGUGCGAGCAUAUAGCAAGCUGGAGGGGUAACCAAAAUGUCCCAGUCAAAAAACUCGAUAUUUUUCGGCAACGAAUAUGUUGGUUUCGGAACCUGGCGGACCGAGGAAUUCUAUCGAACCCGAACCGAUUAAGACUCUACCACCAAAGCGCUCUUGGUUUAAAACUUCGUUCGAUCAAUUGUUGCUCCAGCAGCUGCUCCUUCAGUGCCUUCAUUUUUCCCAGAGGCAGGUGAUGCGCAUCCUAAGCAACCAGCACCCGGCCACCAGCUGCAAUUGAACCUCAUCAACCUGAUUUCACAAAAUAAACGCGUCAGCGAGCCACUCGAAGUCGAUUAUCCAUUAUGGCCACUAUAAAGCUGGUAAAGGUGGAACUUCCUGUAUCGAUAAAGCCGCCCGGUAGCACAGCACAUAGGAAAACGUCUAAAGCUUCGUAACGUUCAGGAGGUUCCGGAUUCUAAGGCAUUUCUGAUGACCAAGCAGACCAAGCUGGAGCAGAACAGGAUUGAAUCAAAAACAUGCAACCUACAUGUUCAAGACGGUUUUCGUGCAUAGCUUUUUGAACACUUUGUCGGGAGGAGUCAAUUCAAAUAAAUAAAACUAAAUUGCUUCCCGCAACGUUUUUUUUUUUGCAUUUUAUAGAUAAAUCUUCUGUGCAAUUGAAAAUGAAAGCAAUGAAAUAAAAUUUAUUGAGAAAAAAACAACGGAAUUAUUUACGAUUGAUUCGUUUGACUUUUCACUUUUACCACCACCACCUCGUGGUAAUUACAUGAAAAGAGCCUAACACUAGUUUUUCAAACCAAUAUGCAUUUUCGCUUCACUAGAGGAAGUUUUGAUAUAGCCACACAACUAGCUGAAGCAGAAGUAAGGUAAAAGCUCAGAUAUAUAUUUAAUACAUCUAUUAUUGGCCUUGGUUUUCAUGGAUAAGUUAAAAAAUUGUAAUAAAAAUUAAACGUAUUUGUUCGUGAAAAAUCAUGACUGCAGUUAGACCCUUUUCACAUGCUGUACUGGUCUUGUUUUUGCACAUCCACAUUCUAUCUAUUCACAUCUCCAUCUAUCUCAAGCAGCGCUCGGCAGGUUUUGAAAGUAGAUGCAGCGAAAAGUAGAUAGACAAAUCUAACAGUUGCACAUUAAUCUAAAAGAAUAGAUGCAUC
Long non-coding RNA from Aedes albopictus (Asian tiger mosquito), 1525 nucleotides. RefSeq lists it as uncharacterized. Lineage: Eukaryota; Metazoa; Arthropoda; Insecta; Diptera; Culicidae. The transcript is spliced from 3 exons. The record is from RefSeq and is a predicted model, not a curated record.